AGUUUGAUCCUGGCUCAGGAUGAACGCCGGCGGUGUGCCUAAUACAUGCAAGUCGUACGCACUGGCCCAACUGAUUGAUGGUGCUUGCACCUGAUUGACGAUGGAUCACCAGUGAGUGGCGGACGGGUGAGUAACACGUAGGUAACCUGCCCCGGAGCGGGGGAUAACAUUUGGAAACAGAUGCUAAUACCGCAUAACAACAAAAGCCACAUGGCUUUUGUUUGAAAGAUGGCCUUGGCUAUCACUCUGGGAUGGACCUGCGGUGCAUUAGCUAGUUGGUAAGGUAACGGCUUACCAAGGCGAUGAUGCAUAGCCGAGUUGAGAGACUGAUCGGCCACAAUGGAACUGAGACACGGUCCAUACUCCUACGGGAGGCAGCAGUAGGGAAUCUUCCAAAAUGGGCGCAAGCCUGAUGGAGCAACACCGCGUGAGUGAAGAAGGGUUUCGGCUCGUAAAGCUCUGUUGUUGGAGAAGAACGUGCGUGAGAGUAACUGUUCACGCAGUGACGGUAUCCAACCAGAAAGUCACGGCUAACUACGUGCCAGCAGCCGCGGUAAUACGUAGGUGGCAAGCGUUAUCCGGAUUUAUUGGGCGUAAAGCGAGCGCAGGCGGUUGCUUAGGUCUGAUGUGAAAGCCUUCGGGUUAACCGAAGAAGUGCAUUGGAAACCGGGCGACUUGAGUGCAGAAGAGGACAGUGGAACUCCAUGUGUAGCGGUGGAAUGCGUAGAUAUUUGGAAGAACACCAGUGGCGAAGGCGGCUGUCUGGUCUGCAACUGACGCUGAGGCUCGAAAGCAUGGGUAGCGAACAGGAUUAGAUACCCUGGUAGUCCAUACCGUAAACGAUGAGUGCUAGGUGUUGGAGGGUUUCCGCCCUUCAGUGCCGGAGCUAACGCAUUAAGCACUCCGCCUGGGGAGUACGACCGCAAGGUUGAAACUCAAAGGAAUUGACGGGGGCCCGCACAAGCGGUGGAGCAUGUGGUUUAAUUCGAAGCUACGCGAAGAACCUUACCAGGUCUUGACAUCUUGCGCUAACCUUAGAGAUAAGGCGUUCCCUUCGGGGGACGCAAUGAAAGGUGGUGCAUGGUCGUCGUCAGCUCGUGUCGUGAGAUGUUGGGUUAAGUCCCGCAACGAGCGCAACCCUUGUUACUAGUUGCCAGCAUUAAGUUGGGCACUCUAGUGAGACUGCCGGUGACAAACCGGAGGAAGGUGGGGACGACGUCAGAUCAUCAUGCCCCUUAUGACCUGGGCUACACACGUGCUACAAUGGACGGUACAACGAGUCGCAAGCUCGCGAGAGUAAGCUAAUCUCUUAAAGCCGUUCUCAGUUCGGACUGUAGGCUGCAACUCGCCUACACGAAGUCGGAAUCGCUAGUAAUCGCGGAUCAGCAUGCCGCGGUGAAUACGUUCCCGGGCCUUGCACACACCGCCCGUCA
Molecule: ribosomal RNA, 1433 nt
Filed under: uncultured bacterium
Lineage: Bacteria
Description: bacterial SSU rRNA
Rfam family: Bacterial small subunit ribosomal RNA
Source: RNAcentral